GAACGCCGUGUGAGUUCGAAAGUCUCAUGCACGGUGUGAAGUGGGGGAAAACAGUUCUGACCGAGUCAUGUCGAAGAUGUCUGUUACCUAUCACUAU
RNAcentral lists this non-coding RNA (97 nucleotides) under Streptohalobacillus salinus. The record is from RNAcentral. Lineage: Bacteria; Bacillati; Bacillota; Bacilli; Caryophanales; Bacillaceae.